UACGUAGGGGGCAAGCGUUGUUCGGAAUUACUGGGCGUAAAGGGCGCGUAGGCGGCACGGCAAGUCAGGAGUGAAAGCCCGGGGCUCAACCCCGGAACGUCUUUUGAAACUGCCGAGCUAGAGUGCGGAAGAGGCAACUGGAAUUCCCAGUGUAGCGGUGAAAUGCGUAGAUAUUGGGAAGAACACCUGAGGCGAAGGCGGGUUGCUGGGCCGACACUGACGCUGAGGCGCGAAAGCCAGGGGAGCGAACAGG
RNAcentral lists this ribosomal RNA (253 nucleotides) under uncultured bacterium. RNAcentral describes it as "partial 16S ribosomal RNA". It matches the Rfam family "Bacterial small subunit ribosomal RNA", at positions 524 to 776 of the family's 1533-position model. The record is from RNAcentral.